UGGGGGAAUAUUGCACAAUGGGGGAAACCCUGAUGCAGCAACGCCGCGUGAAGGAAGAAGGUCGUAAGAUUGUAAACUUCUGUCUUUGGUGACGAGAAAAGGACGGUAGCCAAGGAGGAAGCCACGGCUAACUACGUGCCAGCAGCCGCGGUAAUACGUAGGUGGCAAGCGUUAUCCGGAAUUACUGGGUGUAAAGGGAGCGUAGGCGGGCAUGCAAGUCAGAUGUGAAAACUUGGGCUUAACCCCAAGACUGCAUUUGAAACUGUAUGUCUUGAGUGCGGGAGAGGUAAAUGGAAUUCCUAGUGUAGCGGUGAAAUGCGUAGAUAUUAGGAGGAACACCAGUGGCGAAGGCGAUUUACUGGACCGUAACUGACGCUGAGGCUCGAAAGCGUGGGGAGCAAACAGGAUUAGAUACCCUGGUAGU
This 424-nucleotide ribosomal RNA is filed under the name uncultured bacterium. Its description in RNAcentral is "bacterial SSU rRNA". It matches the Rfam family "Bacterial small subunit ribosomal RNA", at positions 354 to 794 of the family's 1533-position model. The record is from RNAcentral.